GAUGAACGCUGGCGGCGUGCCUAAUACAUGCAAGUCGAGCGAACAGACGAGGAGCUUGCUCCUCUGACGUUAGCGGCGGACGGGUGAGUAACACGUGGAUAACCUACCUAUAAGACUGGGAUAACUUCGGGAAACCGGAGCUAAUACCGGAUAAUAUAUUGAACCGCAUGGUUCAAUAGUGAAAGACGGUUUUGCUGUCACUUAUAGAUGGAUCCGCGCCGCGUUAGCUAGUUGGUAAGGUAACGGCUUACCAAGGCAACGAUGCGUAGCCGACCUGAGAGGGUGAUCGGCCACACGGGAACUGAGACACGGUCCAGACUCCUACGGGAGGCAGCAGUAGGGAAUCUUCCGCAAUGGGCGAAAGCCUGACGGAGCAACGCCGCGUGAGUGAUGAAGGUCUUCGGAUCGUAAAACUCUGUUAUUAGGGAAGAACAAAUGUGUAAGUAACUAUGCACGUCUUGACGGUACCUAAUCAGAAAGCCACGGCUAACUACGUG
RNAcentral lists this ribosomal RNA (497 nucleotides) under uncultured bacterium. RNAcentral's name for it is "partial 16S ribosomal RNA". It matches the Rfam family "Bacterial small subunit ribosomal RNA", at positions 28 to 507 of the family's 1533-position model. The record is from RNAcentral.